RNAcentral lists this unclassified non-coding RNA (329 nucleotides) under soil metagenome. RNAcentral's name for it is "partial contains 5.8S ribosomal RNA, internal transcribed spacer 2, and large subunit ribosomal RNA". The stretch from base 1 to 120 matches the Rfam family "5.8S ribosomal RNA", at positions 35 to 154 of the family's 154-position model. The record is from RNAcentral.
GAUGAAGAACGUAGCGAAAUGCGAUAAGUAAUGUGAAUUGCAGAAUGCAGUGAAUCAUCGAAUCUUUCAACGCACAUUGCGCCCCUUGGUAUUCCGGGGGGCAUGCCUCUUCCAGCGUCAUUUCACCCCUCAAGCUCUGCUUGGUUUUGGGCCGCGCCGGCAACGGCGGGCCUCGAAAAUAGUGGCGACGCCAUCGUGCUCUCAGCGUAGUAAUUCUUCUCGCUGUUGGGUCCCGGUGGUCGUCCGCCAGCAACCCCCAACUUUCUUAAGUUUGACCUGGGAUGAGGUAGGGAUACCCGCUGAACUUAAGCAUAUCAAUAAGCGGAGGA